Molecule: ribosomal RNA, 504 nt
Filed under: uncultured bacterium
Lineage: Bacteria
Description: partial 16S ribosomal RNA
Rfam family: Bacterial small subunit ribosomal RNA
Source: RNAcentral
AUUGAACGCUGGCGGCAGGCCUAACACAUGCAAGUCGGGCGGUAACACAGGGAGCUUGCUCCUGGGUGACGAGCGGCGGACGGGUGAGUAAUGUCUGGGAAACUGCCUGAUGGAGGGGGAUAACUACUGGAAACGGUAGCUAAUACCGCAUAACGUCGCAAGACCAAAGAGGGGGACCUUCGGGCCUCUUGCCAUCAGAUGUGCCCAGAUGGGAUUAGCUAGUAGGUGGGGUAAUGGCUCACCUAGGCGACGAUCCCUAGCUGGUCUGAGAGGAUGACCAGCCACACUGGAACUGAGACACGGUCCAGACUCCUACGGGAGGCAGCAGUGGGGAAUAUUGCACAAUGGGCGCAAGCCUGAUGCAGCCAUGCCGCGUGUAUGAAGAAGGCCUUCGGGUUGUAAAGUACUUUCAGCGAGGAGGAAGGCAUUAAGGUUAAUAACCUUGGUGAUUGACGUUACUCGCAGAAGAAGCACCGGCUAACUCCGUGCCAGCAGCCGCCGUAA